RNAcentral lists this microRNA (24 nucleotides) under Caenorhabditis elegans. RNAcentral describes it as "cel-miR-5595-5p". Lineage: Eukaryota; Metazoa; Nematoda; Chromadorea; Rhabditida; Rhabditidae. The record is from miRBase by way of RNAcentral.
UCUCUUUUUUCUCGCAUGCCAUCU